RNAcentral lists this ribosomal RNA (234 nucleotides) under Nematoda environmental sample. RNAcentral's name for it is "partial 18S ribosomal RNA". It matches the Rfam family "Eukaryotic small subunit ribosomal RNA", at positions 1300 to 1560 of the family's 1831-position model. The record is from RNAcentral. Lineage: Eukaryota; Metazoa; Nematoda.
CGUGGAUCGAUUUGUCUGGUUUAUUCCGAUAACGAGCGAGACUCUAGCCUACUAAAUAGUAACGAGAUUAUCAAUGUCUCAGUUGCUUCUUAGAGGGAUUUUCGGUGUUUAGCCGCACGAGAUUGAGCAAUAACAGGUCUGUGAUGCCCUUAGAUGUUCUGGGCUGCACGCGCGCUACACUGAAGGUAUCAGCAUGUGUACCCUGUCCGAGAGGACUGGGAAACCCGUUGAACC